CAGUUUCAACUUGCUGUGGACAAAUCCAGUGAAUAUGCGUAUCAAUCCCGCCAGCAGUGAGUAUCUGCCCCUCACCUGCAAUGACUUCCGUCGCUGCACCCAAUGGAAUGGUAAUAUCUGGCUGAAUAUCAGGAUUCCCUGCUUUGCCAAUUUUCCAGAUGCGACCAUUUUUAAGGCCGACAUCGGCUUUGACGAUUCCCCACCAAUCAACAAUCAAUGCAUUGGUAAUCACGGUAUCGGCAACUUCAUCUGCAAGUAAUUGCGAUUGGCCCAUACCAUCACGA
This 284-nucleotide small RNA is filed under the name Acinetobacter baylyi ADP1. Its description in RNAcentral is "Acinetobacter sp. ADP1 5' ureB small RNA". It matches the Rfam family "5' ureB small RNA". The record is from Rfam by way of RNAcentral. Lineage: Bacteria; Pseudomonadati; Pseudomonadota; Gammaproteobacteria; Moraxellales; Moraxellaceae.